RNAcentral lists this ribosomal RNA (255 nucleotides) under uncultured Pseudomonas sp. RNAcentral describes it as "partial 16S ribosomal RNA". It matches the Rfam family "Bacterial small subunit ribosomal RNA", at positions 97 to 354 of the family's 1533-position model. Lineage: Bacteria; Pseudomonadati; Pseudomonadota; Gammaproteobacteria; Pseudomonadales; Pseudomonadaceae. The record is from RNAcentral.
GGCGGACGGGUGAGUAAUGCCUAGGAAUCUGCCUGGUAGUGGGGGACAACGUUUCGAAAGGAACGCUAAUACCGCAUACGUCCUACGGGAGAAAGCAGGGACCUUCGGGCCUUGCGCUAUCAGAUGAGCCUAGGUCGGAUUAGCUAGUUGGUGAGGUAAUGGCUCACCAAGGCGACGAUCCGUAACUGGUCUGAGAGGAUGAUCAGUCACACUGGAACUGAGACACGGUCCAGACUCCUACGGGAGGCAGCAGGU